Molecule: non-coding RNA, 727 nt
Organism: Malus domestica (apple)
Lineage: Eukaryota; Viridiplantae; Streptophyta; Magnoliopsida; Rosales; Rosaceae
Source: RefSeq, a predicted model, not a curated record
GACAGGACUAGGGAGGACUGGACUGGACUAGACUAUAGUCCCUUGUUUGGUUUGUAGCAGGAUUAGUUUUAGGGGCCGUUUGUUUGACAGGACUAGGGAGGACUGGACUGGACUAGACUAUAGUCCCUUGUUUGGUUUGUAGCAGGAUUAGUUUUAAUGACCUUAGGUCGGACUCGCUCGGAUUAUUCACCUCCUUACGCGUUCUUAACGAGGAACCCCAGUUUCGGGAGGACUCGUAAGCCCUGAGAGAAAGCCGCGAGAGAGUCACUCAUCCAAGAACCUACGUAGCUCGUCCUCAUCGCUGCGUCUUCCCUCAUCGUCGUCCUUGCCCUGCUCCCUCAUCGUCAUCUUCCUCAUUCUGAUCUCUGCGCCUUCCCUCAUCUGCAUCUGCUCGCCCUCAUCUGCUCCGACUUGUCUGCAAUUUCGUGUCUGGGUUUCACAAGAGGAAGAAGAAGAGGAGAAGGGAAGCUGAGCAGAAGCAAGGAGAGGCAUUGCGGCGGAAACGUCUCAAGCUGUGCAAAAAGGGGAAUUCUAUAUCGACUACAAAGUACAACUUCAUUACAUUUUUGCCGAAAGGACUCUUUGAACAGAGAAGAGGAGCAUAAACGGAAGGCUAAGGCUAAGGCUACUGCAUUACAGGUGUCCUUUAAUUUCCCUUUUCACAUGCAAUGCCUAGCAAUGAUAGCAAUCCUCAUACUAGUGUUCUUAGACACAUGUUUAUAGAUGU